AACCAUAGAAACCUGCGGAGUACCUGCGGAAGGAUCAUUACAGAGUUGCAAAACUCCCUAAACCAUUGUGAACGUUACCUAAACCGUUGCUUCGGCGGGCGGCCCGGGUCCUUCCCGGCGCCCAUCGGCCCUCGCGGGCGCCCGCCGGAGGUAAACCAAACUAUUGCAUUGUAUGGCCUCUCUGAGUCCUCUGUACUGAAUAAGUCAAAACUUUUAACAAUGGAUCUCAGAUCGGAAGAG
This 240-nucleotide unclassified non-coding RNA is filed under the name soil metagenome. RNAcentral describes it as "partial contains 5.8S ribosomal RNA, internal transcribed spacer 2, and large subunit ribosomal RNA". The record is from RNAcentral.